UCCCUGGUGGCUCAGAGGGUAAAGCGUCUGCCUUCAAUGCAGGAGACCUGGGUUCGAUCCCUGGGUGGGGAA
RNAcentral lists this transfer RNA (72 nucleotides) under Odocoileus virginianus texanus. It matches the Rfam family "tRNA". Rfam says of the family: Transfer RNA (tRNA) molecules are approximately 80 nucleotides in length. Their secondary structure includes four short double-helical elements and three loops (D, anti-codon, and T loops). RNAcentral also lists the same sequence under 9 other names. The record is from Rfam by way of RNAcentral. Lineage: Eukaryota; Metazoa; Chordata; Mammalia; Artiodactyla; Cervidae.